Non-coding RNA from Paramuricea clavata, 273 nucleotides. Lineage: Eukaryota; Metazoa; Cnidaria; Anthozoa; Malacalcyonacea; Plexauridae. The record is from the annotation of a GenBank genome assembly.
CCGGUUUGAAAUUGUGCUAAUGGUAAGCAAAAUUUCGAAUAGAAAAUCCCAUUCGGAUUAUGCGCUUUCCAUUUAGAGUGACUGACCGGAGGCACUGAAGGAUUGUUUACCAUUUACAUGGAAAACCCAUUCGGUUUGAAUUAAAUCGCGAAGAGCCUGGAACUGGUGAAAAAAUAAAAAAAAGAUGUAAUUAAAAUGGAACAAAAUUCACCGGUUGAAACGUUCCAAUCGGUAAGAGAGGACAACCUUUUCAAACAAACCGUUUAUUCAGGA